Molecule: ribosomal RNA, 957 nt
Filed under: Stemphylium vesicarium
Lineage: Eukaryota; Fungi; Ascomycota; Dothideomycetes; Pleosporales; Pleosporaceae
Description: SSU rRNA
Rfam family: Eukaryotic small subunit ribosomal RNA
Source: RNAcentral
AGUAUAAGCAAUUAUACCGUGAAACUGCGAAUGGCUCAUUAAAUCAGUUAUCGUUUAUUUGAUAAUACCUUACUACUUGGAUAACCGUGGUAAUUCUAGAGCUAAUACAUGCUGAAAAUCCCGACUUCGGAAGGGAUGUGUUUAUUAGAUAAAAAACCAAUGCCCUUCGGGGCUUUUUGGUGAUUCAUGAUAACUUUACGGAUCGCAUAGCCUUGCGCUGGCGACGGUUCAUUCAAAUUUCUGCCCUAUCAACUUUCGAUGGUAAGGUAUUGGCUUACCAUGGUUUCAACGGGUAACGGGGAAUUAGGGUUCGAUUCCGGAGAGGGAGCCUGAGAAACGGCUACCACAUCCAAGGAAGGCAGCAGGCGCGCAAAUUACCCAAUCCCGACACGGGGAGGUAGUGACAAUAAAUACUGAUACAGGGCUCUUUUGGGUCUUGUAAUUGGAAUGAGUACAAUUUAAACCUCUUAACGAGGAACAAUUGGAGGGCAAGUCUGGUGCCAGCAGCCGCGGUAAUUCCAGCUCCAAUAGCGUAUAUUAAAGUUGUUGCAGUUAAAAAGCUCGUAGUUGAAACUUGGGCCUGGCUGGCGGGUCCGCCUCACCGCGUGCACUCGUCCGGCCGGGCCUUCCUUCUGAAGAACCUCAUGCCCUUCACUGGGCGUGUUGGGGAAUCAGGACUUUUACUUUGAAAAAAUUAGAGUGUUCAAAGCAGGCCUUUGCUCGAAUACGUUAGCAUGGAAUAAUAAAAUAGGGCGUGCGUUUCUAUUUUGUUGGUUUCUAGAGACGCCGCAAUGAUUAACAGGAACAGUCGGGGGCAUCAGUAUUCAGUUGUCAGAGGUGAAAUUCUUGGAUUUACUGAAGACUAACUACUGCGAAAGCAUUUGCCAAGGGAUGUUUUCAUUAUUCAGUGAACGAAAGUUACGGGAUCGAAGACGAUCAGAUACCGUCGUAGUCUUA